GACGAACGCUGGCGGCGUGCCUAAUACAUGCAAGUCGAGCGGAUCUUCAUUAGCUUGCUUUUGAAGAUCAGCGGCGGACGGGUGAGUAACACGUGGGCAACCUGCCUGUAAGACUGGGAUAACUUCGGGAAACCGGAGCUAAUACCGGAUAAUCCUUUUCCUCUCAUGAGGAAAAGCUGAAAGACGGUUUCGGCUGUCACUUACAGAUGGGCCCGCGGCGCAUUAGCUAGUUGGUGAGGUAACGGCUCACCAAGGCGACGAUGCGUAGCCGACCUGAGAGGGUGAUCGGCCACACUGGGACUGAGACACGGCCCAGACUCCUACGGGAGGCAGCAGUAGGGAAUCUUCCGCAAUGGACGAAAGUCUGACGGAGCAACGCCGCGUGAGCGAUGAAGGCCUUCGGGUCGUAAAGCUCUGUUGUCAGGGAAGAACAAGUACCGGAGUAACUGCCGGUACCUUGACGGUACCUGACCAGAAAGCCACGGCUAACUACGUGCCAGCAGCCGCCGUAA
This 512-nucleotide ribosomal RNA is filed under the name uncultured bacterium. RNAcentral's name for it is "partial 16S ribosomal RNA". It matches the Rfam family "Bacterial small subunit ribosomal RNA", at positions 28 to 523 of the family's 1533-position model. The record is from RNAcentral.